UACGGAGGAUGCGAGCGUUAUCCGGAUUUAUUGGGUUUAAAGGGUGCGUAGGCGGGAUGCCAAGUCAGCGGUAAAAAUGCGGUGCUCAACGCCGUCGAGCCGUUGAAACUGGCGUUCUUGAGUGGGCGAGAAGUAUGCGGAAUGCGUGGUGCAGCGGUGAAAUGCAUAGAUAUCACGCAGAACUCCGAUUGCGAAGGCAGCAUACCGGCGCCCUACUGACGCUGAGGCACGAAAGCGUGGGUAUCGAACAGG
Molecule: ribosomal RNA, 252 nt
Filed under: uncultured bacterium
Lineage: Bacteria
Description: partial 16S ribosomal RNA
Rfam family: Bacterial small subunit ribosomal RNA
Source: RNAcentral